CGCACAUUGCGCCCGCUAGUAUUCUGGCGGGCACGCCUGUCCGAGCGUCAUUUCAACCCUCGAGCUCCGCUCGGCGUUGGGGCCCUACGGCCGCCGUAGGCCCCUAAAACCAUUGGCGGGCUCGCCAGCACCCCGAGCGCAGUAAUUCUACAACGCUCGCGGCGGGCUGGCGCGUCCACGGCCGUUAAACCCCCAAUUUAUCAAGGUUGACCUCGGAUCAGGUGGGAAUACCCGCUGAACUUAA
RNAcentral lists this unclassified non-coding RNA (244 nucleotides) under Ascovaginospora stellipala. RNAcentral describes it as "partial contains 5.8S ribosomal RNA, internal transcribed spacer 2, and large subunit ribosomal RNA". Lineage: Eukaryota; Fungi; Ascomycota; Sordariomycetes; Sordariales; Lasiosphaeriaceae. The record is from RNAcentral.